CAUGCUAGACGAGUUUGGAUCCUGGCUCAGAUUGAACGCUGGCGGCAUGGUUAAAGCAUGCAAGUCGAACGCGAACCACCUUCGGGUGGGGAAAGUGGCGAAAGGGCGAGGAAUACGAUCGAAUGUGCCCCGAGGUGGGGGAUAGCGUCGAGAAAUCGGCGGUAAUACCCCAUGUGCUCUACGGAGGAAAGGUUUACCGCCUUGGGAGCAGCGAUCGUCCUAUCAGGUAGUUGGUGGGGUAAUGGCCUACCAAGCCGAAGACGGGUAGCGGGUGUGAGAGCAUGACCCGCCGCAUCGGAACUGAGACACUGUCCGGACUCCUACGGGAGGCUGCAGCGACGAAUAUUCCGCAAUGGGCGAAAGCCUGACGGAGCAAUGCCGCGUGUGGGAUGAAGCGCCUUCGGCGUGUAAACCACUGUCAGGUCCUAGGAACACUGACCAGGACCAGAGGAAGGGCCGGCUAACCUCGUG
Molecule: ribosomal RNA, 471 nt
Filed under: uncultured bacterium
Lineage: Bacteria
Description: bacterial SSU rRNA
Rfam family: Bacterial small subunit ribosomal RNA
Source: RNAcentral